Non-coding RNA from Nelumbo nucifera (sacred lotus), 107 nucleotides. Lineage: Eukaryota; Viridiplantae; Streptophyta; Magnoliopsida; Proteales; Nelumbonaceae. The record is from Rfam.
AAGUCUAUGAUGAGGGACCUUCCUCACUAAUUCCUUGUAGCGCUCCCAUGAUUCAUAUAAUGAUUCCCUAUCUUGCUGAGAGAAAGUGGUGAUAUCAUUCUGCAUCU